RNAcentral lists this ribosomal RNA (253 nucleotides) under uncultured bacterium. RNAcentral's name for it is "partial 16S ribosomal RNA". It matches the Rfam family "Bacterial small subunit ribosomal RNA", at positions 524 to 776 of the family's 1533-position model. The record is from RNAcentral.
UACAGAGGUCCCGAGCGUUGUUCGGAUUCAUUGGGCGUAAAGGGUGCGUAGGCGGCGGGGCAAGUCUGAUGUGAAAUCCCGGGGCUCAACCCCGGAACUGCAUUGGAUACUGCCUUGCUAGAGUACUGGAGAGGGAACUGGAAUUUACGGUGUAGCAGUGAAAUGCGUAGAGAUCGUAAGGAAGGCCGGUGGCGAAGGCGAGUUCCUGGACAGUGACUGACGCUGAGGCACGAAGGCCAGGGGAGCAAACGGG